RNAcentral lists this ribosomal RNA (217 nucleotides) under uncultured Lactobacillus sp. Its description in RNAcentral is "partial 16S ribosomal RNA". It matches the Rfam family "Bacterial small subunit ribosomal RNA", at positions 144 to 354 of the family's 1533-position model. Lineage: Bacteria; Bacillati; Bacillota; Bacilli; Lactobacillales; Lactobacillaceae. The record is from RNAcentral.
UAACACCUGGAAACAGAUGCUAAUACCGGAUAACAACAGAUGAUGCCUAUCAACUGUUUAAAAGAUGGUUCUGCUAUCACUCUUGGAUGGACCUGCGGUGCAUUAGCUAGUUGGUAGGGUAACGGCCUACCAAGGCGAUGAUGCAUAGCCGAGUUGAGAGACUGAUCGGCCACAUUGGGACUGAGACACGGCCCAAACUCCUACGGGAGGCAGCAGG